RNAcentral lists this unclassified non-coding RNA (223 nucleotides) under Hevea brasiliensis (rubber tree). Lineage: Eukaryota; Viridiplantae; Streptophyta; Magnoliopsida; Malpighiales; Euphorbiaceae. The record is from RNAcentral.
GUAAACUUUCUCUGUCCGGAGGUUGAUAUACACAUGGUGUCCGGCUUCAAGACUGUGAGUGUAAGCAUGAGACUUCUUCCCCCUCCCUUGAUAGUAUUUACCACAUACCAGGCAGGCAUAAACAUUUAGAUUUGACAGAGAGACAGAGCAAAACUUCUCAAAAUCAAAAUCUAAAACCUGACGGUUUACAGUAUCAAGAUAAGGACAAUCUUUUCGAACUUCA